AAUUUUGAAUGCUACAGCAUUCAUGACAUUCUACGUCACAAUGAAAAUGUCCGCAAACGUGUUAAUAAGAAUUUGUUGACUCAUCAAAUAUUACUAUAAUAACACAGGAAAAUUGAUCGGAGCUUGACCCCCGUAUGACCACGAACCGUGAUCGGAGCUAAUGCGAGAAUCGACCUUGAGAGAUCACGUGAGUAUUCGGUAUAAUGAUUUUCGCCAUAUUAACGGAGAUAAUAGGCAUCUAGGGAAAAUGGAUCCCAUCGAAUGCGUGUCGCACGCAAAAUACAUUAAAUUACUAGAUGGUUAUUUUGAAAUGAUAAAGAAGAAUAAGAGUAUGUUUUACAAAUUAUUAUAAAUACAUAUAUAAUUGUAUGUUCAACCUUUUAUACAUGAAAAAACUGAUUUAUCAAAUUUCGAUAUUGAUUGAAAUAAUAUAAAAUAUUAAAUUGAUGUAAAUAUACUUGGAAAUUAUUUAUAAAAUAAAGAAAAUAUUGCGGAAAAAAAGAACGUUUAAUCAAAUCACUUGAACCUUUCGUAAAAGAAUUGUAAAAGGAUUGUAAAA
Molecule: long non-coding RNA, 559 nt
Filed under: Polistes fuscatus (common paper wasp)
Lineage: Eukaryota; Metazoa; Arthropoda; Insecta; Hymenoptera; Vespidae
Description: uncharacterized LOC122517797
Source: RNAcentral